Molecule: non-coding RNA, 1327 nt
Filed under: Homo sapiens (human)
Lineage: Eukaryota; Metazoa; Chordata; Mammalia; Primates; Hominidae
Source: RNAcentral
UUGGUUGAAAUGUUGGAUAUGUCUGUCCCUGCAGUUGCUAAAUUGAGACGUCUUUUAGAUAGUCUUCCAAGGGAAGCUUUACCAGACAUCUUGACAUCAAUUAUCCGAACAAGCAACAAAGAGAAACUCCAGAUUUUAGAUGCUGUGAGCCUAGAGGAGCGGUUCAAGAUGACUAUACCACUGCUUGUCAGACAAAUUGAAGGCCUGAAAUUGCUUCAAAAAACCAGAAAACCCAAGCAAGAUGAUGAUAAGAGGGUUAUAGCAAUACGCCCUAUUAGGAGAAUUACACAUAUCUCAGGUACUUUAGAAGAUGAAGAUGAAGAUGAAGAUAAUGAUGACAUUGUCAUGCUAGAGAAAAAAAUACGAACAUCUAGUAUGCCAGAGCAGGCCCAUAAAGUCUGUGUCAAAGAGAUAAAGAGACUCAAAAAAAUGCCUCAGUCAAUGCCAGAAUAUGCUCUGACUAGAAAUUAUUUGGAACUUAUGGUAGAACUUCCUUGGAACAAAAGUACAACUGACCGCCUGGACAUUAGGGCAGCCCGGAUUCUUCUGGAUAAUGACCAUUACGCCAUGGAAAAAUUGAAGAAAAGAGUACUGGAAUACUUGGCUGUCAGACAGCUCAAAAAUAACCUGAAGGGCCCAAUCCUAUGCUUUGUUGGCCCUCCUGGAGUUGGUAAAACAAGUGUGGGAAGAUCAGUGGCCAAGACUCUAGGUCGAGAGUUCCACAGGAUUGCACUUGGAGGAGUAUGUGAUCAGUCUGACAUUCGAGGACACAGGCGCACCUAUGUUGGCAGCAUGCCUGGUCGCAUCAUCAACGGCUUGAAGACUGUGGGAGUGAACAACCCAGUGUUCCUAUUAGAUGAGGUUGACAAACUGGGAAAAAGUCUACAGGGUGAUCCAGCAGCAGCUCUGCUUGAGGUGUUGGAUCCUGAACAAAACCAUAACUUCACAGAUCAUUAUCUAAAUGUGGCCUUUGACCUUUCUCAAGUUCUUUUUAUAGCUACUGCCAACACCACUGCUACCAUUCCAGCUGCCUUGUUGGACAGAAUGGAGAUCAUUCAGGUUCCAGGUUAUACACAGGAGGAGAAGAUAGAGAUUGCCCAUAGGCACUUGAUCCCCAAGCAGCUGGAACAACAUGGGCUGACUCCACAGCAGAUUCAGAUACCCCAGGUCACCACUCUUGACAUCAUCACCAGGUAUACCAGAGAGGCAGGGGUUCGUUCUCUGGAUAGAAAACUUGGGGCCAUUUGCCGAGCUGUGGCCGUGAAGGUGGCAGAAGGACAGCAUAAGGAAGCCAAGUUGGACCGUUCUGAUGUGACUGAGAGAGAAG